AAGAUUAAAGAUCCUUCAGAGAUACCAUGCAAACCAUGCGUCCCCUUCCAUCUGGAUCCCAUCACAGUUUACCAAGAGUGAAAGUCUUAGUCACUGCAAUGGUACAAAGAUACAGGAGGCCACAAUUAAUAACAGAUCUCUUGGAGCCCAUUCACUUCCUGUUUUAACUUGGACCCGGAGGAAGGGGCGUGAGAGGUAAAGAAUACAUUUUAAUCACAGCAAAAGGACGAUCUCAGUGUAAACAAACCAGUGGCCAUGUUUUCAUUAGUCUUGUCUGAAUUUAGUUGGUGUGACUUUGUCAUGGAGACACUAAUUAUCUAUGGACAUAUAAAGAACGUUCAGGGUCUGGGUCUCAGUCAGCCACCCCAAGAGUCUCACCAAGGUCAGCCAGAAUCCUUCAGUGCACCUGGAGUGGAUACUGUAAUGUGUUGCCAAGACCCCCGAAGGAGGAAGGCACUCAACCCCUUGCCUCAAUUGGAAACAUCUCUGAAGGGCCAUCUCAUCUUCAGAGUGCCCCAUGGGAUGGGCGAGGCUUCCUUUGGCAACUGCUUUAACUUCCACUUUGUUCUCUGUCCUGUGUUUCCUUCACCGUCUGACAGGUAUUAUUCCCAUACUCCUGAAUAAAUAUGUCUCAAGGUCUGUUUCCUGAGGAACCGGACCUACAACCCUACUUUUCUCUCAUACCCAGAACUGUAACAAACGAAAAGGUUAAUUUCU
Molecule: long non-coding RNA, 717 nt
Organism: Mirounga angustirostris (Northern elephant seal)
Lineage: Eukaryota; Metazoa; Chordata; Mammalia; Carnivora; Phocidae
Exons: 3
Source: RefSeq, a predicted model, not a curated record